Hemicordylus capensis (graceful crag lizard) is the source of this 2868-nucleotide long non-coding RNA. RefSeq lists it as uncharacterized. The record is from RefSeq and is a predicted model, not a curated record. Lineage: Eukaryota; Metazoa; Chordata; Lepidosauria; Squamata; Cordylidae. The transcript is spliced from 2 exons.
GCUGGCUGGGAUUCAGCCCCGAACGGCGGUUAAGACAUCAAGGCAACAAAAGGGAGCGAUGAAAAGGAAUAACAGGAGGAGUCACAGCCGGGGUUUGGCUAUUCAGGGGCCGUCUAUCAACUCACCCGAAUACGCCGGCCGGAAUGUAUCGGCUCCCUCUGCAACCCGAACGGCGCUUAUCUCCGCUGAAACUAGUGGAGGAGGAGUAAGAAUUUGUAGAGCGUCCCUAAGAGGAAGCAAAGCACUUUGGGAAAUGUAGUGUUUGGCGUGGUCGGUUGGCGUCUUUCGUGAGCUGUGAAGAGCGCGCGAUCUGAGUCAGCCCAGAGAUCGGAGGGCGCUAGCGGGGUCUGCGUAAGUUGCUUUUUCAUGAAUGCCACUACCGCGCCCGUGGAGCGGCGGCAUUCUUUCGUUCCUAACGCAAAAGGAGCUAAAAGAAUGUCAAAAUAAGCGACUCUUAGAGCGCAGCUGUUGUAUUCUGUCUAGUUGUUUGCUUGUUUUGCAAUUUGUCUGUUUGGACAUCUGCCCCAGUAGGGUAUCCUGUGGGAAAGUGUUACCUGAGCAAAUGACCAUCGACACGGAUAGUGAAAGAGACAAAGGUUUAUUUCUCAGCGCUGAGGAUGACCCCCGGUGCCUCUUGGCGAAAAUCCAGGGAGCGUGCCUCUUACAGACUAACAAGAGUUUAUAAAGAUUUUUCUCCACCCCUUGGUAUCAACAUUUAGCCAAUCAUGGUAUAGAAAAGUUCACAUACUUUCAGGAAAGUUCCACUCCAUAUUUGGUAAUACAUUCGUUUUCGCAUAGCAGUCUUAUCUACCCUACAAUACAAUACACACAGCAGAAUAUGCAGAGCUCAACACAAUGUCUAACAGCUACUUCAAACAAGGAGAUAAGGUCCUCAAGUAUCAAGGAUCCGCUCACAGCAAACACAGCAGGCAAAGCUGAGUUACUGAGUUACAAAUAACAACUUGCAAAUAUAAUAUCCUCUUUUCUGAUCAUGCCACACAUGUCACAAAAGGAGGAGUCAAAGGAGGCGGCGGCGCCUUGUUUGCUGAAUAAACAAAGAGGUUUAAAUAAACUAACUAGAAGUUUAUUUGCUGCAUGAACCUCUAGUGAAAUGAGAUUUCCAUGUGUAUGAGGAAAGCAGCUAUAAAAACAGCAGCCCUAAGUGUAGGUACUUGGGAGGAGUGUUUUGUGUGUGUGCAAUAAAUGAGUUUUCCAAUUACGUAUCUUUAGGAUUGUGUUAUUAUGAAACAGAAACAAACACUAGGGAUUCAUCUUGUGUCAGUCUACAUUUUGACUUAACGUUGUUUGUUUUUUAAUUAAUUUUUGCGUUUUCUGCAAAAGACAUGGAAUAUUAAGUGUUACACAAUACCAGAUUUCUGAACGGGGUGGGUGGAUGGGGAGGAACUGUAUUUCCAAUUAUUUUUUUAACAGCAUUCAACAAUAUUUGUCUAAACUCACCAAUUUUUCUGGCUCUGCUACUGUAUUUUUAACAUCCAGAUAUACAAACACUUGAGAUAAUGGGGUGGGGGUCUUUAAACACUACAUUUCUGACAGUUAGGUUGCAGUUGCAAUUAAAAGCAAGUUUUAACAACAAAAAGCUUUUCUUACACAGACAGGCCCACACUGUCUGAUUCACCCUCUCUCUCUUUAACUGAGCUCUCCAAUGAAAGAAACACAUUUACCUCACAUUUUAAACCACAUUUUAAAAAACACCAGACUAGUAGCCAUCAAUAGACCUCUCCUCCAUUAAUUUGUCUAAGCUUUUAAAGCCAUCCAAACUAGUGGCUAUCACCAUAUCCCAUGGCAAGAAAUUCCAUAGGUUAAUUAUGCGCUGUGCCUGUGUGAAAAAUUACUUUCUUUUGUCAGUCCUAAAUUUCCUGACCUCCAGUUUAAUGGGAUGACCCUGUUACCGAAAACUGGGUUUGAGCCUGGCGUGCAAGCCAAUAACAUCACCAAAACAGAAAUCAUUCAAAGCUUUAUUUCUCUGCGCAGAGAAUAGGCACUUUGGGAAUAGAUUCACAAAGCAAAGCGCCCUGAGCAAAAACAGCUCAGGGAUUUUAUACAGUUUGUCACACAUUACAGCAUUAUUGCAACAACAAACAUGACAGGUAGUUGCUGCCUGAUUUACCUUGUUAACAUCAGCAACUUCAGAGGCUUGAGUUUGAAGUAUCGGGGUACCCCUGACCCCAAUAGGGGAGGUUCGUUCCUGGGCGGAUGGAGCCCACUAAUCAGCCCACACGAGAGGACUUAAGAUCAAAGUUUUAUUUGCCCUUAAGUAGCAAAGGUGCUGCUCGGCUCGCGCUCAAAGCAGGACAGAGGCCUGAUACAGAAGCAAUGAUAACGAAUUGUUUAAUCCAGGCCUACAAAUAAGUACUGUAUAUAAAAGUGUGUAUCGAAGUAUAACUCAAAAGUUUGGUUCAUAUCCCUAAUGGAAUAUAAAGCUAGCAGGUUAUUCAGAGUUGAGAAGCCUCUCGGUAACAGAGGCCAAAGUCAAGAGCGGGAGGCCCCCUCUCAAGAAUGUGGGUUGAGAAGCCCACCAGAGAUAACAGGUACCAGGAGUGGUCAAACACAGGCCAUUAGCUAAAUUCCUCAGUCAGCAGAAAGAGGGUUUUGCUGGUACGGAGAGAUACCAUAAUUGUCGUAAAAGCCAGGUAGUAACUCAUCUUCUCAGGCUGUAGAUGACACCUCUGAAAUAUGUAAGUUUAAUAACUAAUAACGUGUAUUAAUCGCUUUGUUGAUAUGCUUGUAUGUUUGAGACCUAUAAAAAUGAGCCAACUGCAUGGCUCGUGUGUGCAGUAUCAGCCAGAUGCUCUCUGAUGAUACUCGUGCCUUUCAUGACAUGAAAUAAAAGCUUUUUUGAGCAACGCA